Molecule: ribosomal RNA, 465 nt
Filed under: Vreelandella stevensii
Lineage: Bacteria; Pseudomonadati; Pseudomonadota; Gammaproteobacteria; Oceanospirillales; Halomonadaceae
Description: partial 16S ribosomal RNA
Rfam family: Bacterial small subunit ribosomal RNA
Source: RNAcentral
CCUACGGGAGGCUGCAGUGGGGAAUAUUGGACAAUGGGCGAAAGCCUGAUCCAGCCAUGCCGCGUGUGUGAAGAAGGCCUUCGGGUUGUAAAGCACUUUCAGUGGGGAAGAAAGCCUUGGGGCUAAUACCCUCGAGGAAGGACAUUACCCACAGAAGAAGCACCGGCUAACUCCGUGCCAGCAGCCGCGGUAAUACGGAGGGUGCGAGCGUUAAUCGGAAUUACUGGGCGUAAAGCGCGCGUAGGCGGUCUGAUAAGCCGGUUGUGAAAGCCCCGGGCUCAACCUGGGAACGGCAUCCGGAACUGUCAGGCUAGAGUGCAGGAGAGGAAGGUAGAAUUCCCGGUGUAGCGGUGAAAUGCGUAGAGAUCGGGAGGAAUACCAGUGGCGAAGGCGGCCUUCUGGACUGACACUGACGCUGAGGUGCGAAAGCGUGGGUAGCAAACAGGAUUAGAUACCCCAGUAGUC